Small nucleolar RNA from Meriones unguiculatus (Mongolian gerbil), 132 nucleotides. NCBI's taxonomy places the organism in Eukaryota, Metazoa, Chordata, Mammalia, Rodentia, Muridae. The record is from Ensembl.
CCUGCCCCUGAAAGCAUUGCAGGUGUGGCUGCUGUGACGCGUGUGUAUCAAUAAGUGACAACGAGGAGAGAGGCUAUGUGUAGGCUCAGUGUUCUGAUCUAUGAACAUCUGAGUGAUUAUUAGUCUAAUAUU